AUUACCACGCUGCCGUGGUACACCACACUGAUUCCACUGGUGGUCGUGCUGUCAUCACUGCCAUCAAAGAUCUGGUGGAUGAUCUGGCUCGUCACCGGAUGGAUAAAGAGAUCAACAACAGAAAGUGUGAGGUUCUGCUGGACGGCAGGUUUCAAGAGUCCAAGUGGAGACACAUCCAGGUUGGCGACGUGGUUCGUCUGAAGAAAAAUGACUU
This is a long non-coding RNA of Thalassophryne amazonica, 214 nucleotides long. RefSeq lists it as uncharacterized. NCBI's taxonomy places the organism in Eukaryota, Metazoa, Chordata, Actinopteri, Batrachoidiformes, Batrachoididae. The record is from RefSeq and is a predicted model, not a curated record. The transcript is spliced from 3 exons.